RNAcentral lists this ribosomal RNA (377 nucleotides) under uncultured bacterium. RNAcentral's name for it is "bacterial SSU rRNA". It matches the Rfam family "Bacterial small subunit ribosomal RNA", at positions 29 to 399 of the family's 1533-position model. The record is from RNAcentral.
AGUGAACGCUGGCGGUAGGCCUAACACAUGCAAGUCGAACGGCAGCACAGCAGUAGCAAUACUGUGGGUGGCGAGUGGCGGACGGGUGAGGAAUACAUCGGAAUCUACCUUUUUCGUGGGGGAUAACGUAGGGAAACUUACGCUAAUACCGCAUACGACCUUAGGGUGAAAGCGGAGGACCUUCGGGCUUCGCGCGGAUAGAUGAGCCGAUGUCGGAUUAGCUAGUUGGCGGGGUAAAGGCCCGACCAAGGCUACGAUCCGUAGCUGGUCUGAGAGGAUGAUCAGCACACUGGAACUGAGACACGGUCCAGACUCCUACGGGAGGCAACAGUGGGGAAGUAUUGGACAAUGGGCGCAAGCCUGAUCCAGCCAUACCG